GACGAACGCUGGCGGCGUGCUUAACACAUGCAAGUCGAACGGAAAGGCCCUGCUUUUGUGGGGUGCUCGAGUGGCGAACGGGUGAGUAACACGUGAGUAACCUGCCCUUGACUUUGGGAUAACUUCAGGAAACUGGGGCUAAUACCGGCUAGGAGCUCCUGCUGCAUGGUGGGGGUUGGACAGUUUCGGCGGUUGGGGAUGGACUCGCGGCUUAUCAGCUUGUUGGUGGGGUAGUGGCUUACCAAGGCUUUGACGGGUAGCCGGCCUGAGAGGGUGAACGGCCACAUUGGGACUGAGAUACGGCCCAGACUCCUACGGGAGGCAGCAGUGGGGAAUAUUGCACAAUGGGCGGAAGCCUGAUGCAGCAACGCCGCGUGCGGGAUGACGGCCUUCGGGUUGUAAACCGCUUUCGCCUGUGACGAAGCGUGAGUGACGGUAAUGGGUAAAGAAGCACCGGCUAACUACGUG
RNAcentral lists this ribosomal RNA (468 nucleotides) under uncultured bacterium. Its description in RNAcentral is "partial 16S ribosomal RNA". It matches the Rfam family "Bacterial small subunit ribosomal RNA", at positions 28 to 507 of the family's 1533-position model. The record is from RNAcentral.